GAUGCUGGCUGAUGGUGGAGGUACCUAAAAAAUUCAAAGCGAUGCUGAGCAUCCUUUUGGAAUUCCUGGUCCAGCUUAUAAGCAAGGAAAUCUUCUCUGUCGACAACGAGGAACUCUGUUUCUUCCAUACAGACCAUGGUGGCUCUCCAUACCAAAGGAUUCAGAAGGCCCAAUUCCUGUUGGAUGGACAUGGAAAUGGGGAACAUGUUCCUUAAACAUCCAGAUGGAGGAGCCAGCCUCGGACAUCACCUGGUCCAGUCAAUUGGCCUGUGACAGAAGGUAAUGGGGAACACAAAAGUCUGGAAAGAGGAGACAGCCCAGAUGACAAUGCCUAGAUGGAAGAAGACAGGCACAGUCAGCUGGGAAAUGAGCCUGGUAGCAACAGGGAGCCUGGCCCCAUGCUGGGAGGAGUCCUGCACUGCCUUGUGUGCUUCUGGAGCAUGAAGGCACAGACUGGGACCAGAAGAGCCCGCACAGCAGCCCGGCUCCAGCUCAAGCUUGAGCUCUUCACUAACAUCCACCCAGUUGCCUGCCUCCCUCAGACUGAAGCUUCCUGAGAGCAGAGCCUUUGUCAGUUGGCUAAGGCACAGUAAAUGCUCCACACAGUAAAUGCUCAGUGAAUAGCCGCUGAAUAAACG
Canis lupus familiaris (dog) is the source of this 638-nucleotide long non-coding RNA. RefSeq lists it as uncharacterized. NCBI's taxonomy places the organism in Eukaryota, Metazoa, Chordata, Mammalia, Carnivora, Canidae. The transcript is spliced from 3 exons. The record is from RefSeq and is a predicted model, not a curated record.